Molecule: long non-coding RNA, 550 nt
Organism: Papaver somniferum (opium poppy)
Lineage: Eukaryota; Viridiplantae; Streptophyta; Magnoliopsida; Ranunculales; Papaveraceae
Exons: 3
Source: RefSeq, a predicted model, not a curated record
ACAAACUUCUCUUCUCUGCUCUAGUUUUUUUCUUCGUUCCUCUUCUUCACAGAACCAAACCACCUCCAUGAUUCAUAAUCUGUUAACAAAUCAAAUCAUGAUACUACACCAGUAAAAUAAAAUCUUCUUCUCCUCAUUCCCUUUCUAUUCUUCUCUGCUUAUUCCUCUAACCCUAAUCCCUAAUCUUCGAUUCACCCCCUAUUUUCAGACGAAACAAGAACCAAAUUGAUCAUUUUAUAAGGGUUUAGUAAAAUGAGUUUGCGUGAUUUAUUUGAUUCAAUUAUGGAAGAUUCUCAAUCAACACAAGCUUCUACUUCUUCAACCGUUACAACACAAGUCGUUAAGAAGCACAAAACUACUUCUUCCAUAUGGGAUUACUUUGUAAAAGAGAAACCACCUUCAAUAAUGUCAUAUGAAACUUAGGGCUAAUGUGAAGAAGUGCGGAACCUCUUACUUGUAUGCCCAUGUAAAGAGGUGUAGUCGGCGUCGUGUUAAAUAAGCUUCUACAUGUACUGGAUCUAGUUUCGAAUGUUUAUGUUUUUAUCCUUCA